This 454-nucleotide ribosomal RNA is filed under the name uncultured bacterium. RNAcentral describes it as "bacterial SSU rRNA". It matches the Rfam family "Bacterial small subunit ribosomal RNA", at positions 30 to 479 of the family's 1533-position model. The record is from RNAcentral.
AUUGAACGCUGGCGGCAGGCCUAACACAUGCAAGUCGAGCGGAUGAGUGGAGCUUGCUCCAUGAUUCAGCGGCGGACGGGUGAGUAAUGCCUAGGAAUCUGCCUGGUAGUGGGGGACAACGUUUCGAAAGGAACGCUAAUACCGCAUACGUCCUACGGGAGAAAGCAGGGGGACCUUCGGGCCUUGCGCUAUCAGAUGAGCCUAGGUCGGAUUAGCUAGUAGGUGAGGUAAUGGCUCACCUAGGCGACGAUCCGUAACUGGUCUGAGAGGAUGAUCAGUCACACUGGAACUGAGACACGGUCCAGACUCCUACGGGAGGCAGCAGUGGGGAAUAUUGGACAAUGGGCGAAAGCCUGAUCCAGCCAUGCCGCGUGUGUGAAGAAGGUCCUCGGAUUGUAAAGCACUUAAGUUGGAGGAGGGCAGUAAGUUAAUAACCUUGCUGUUUGACGUUACC